AUGAUGCAGCCGGAAGGUUUUGUCGAUCCUAAGAAUGCUGACAAGGUGUGCAAGCUCCAACGCUCGAUUUAUGGGCUGGUGCAAGCAUCUCAGAGUUGGAACAUUCCCUUUGAUGAGAUGAUCAAAGCGUUUGGGUUUAUGCAGACUUAUGGAGAAGCCUGCGUUUACAAGAAAGUGAGUGGGAGCUCUGUAGCAUUUCUCAUAUUAUAUGUAGAUGACAUACUUUUGAUGGGAAAUGAUAUAGAGAUUUUGGACAGCAUUAAGGCCUACUUGAAUAAGAGUUUUUCAAUGAAGGACCUUGGAGAAGCUGCUUAUAUAUUAGGCAUCAAGAUCUAUAGAGAUAGAUCAAUACGCCUCAUAGGUCUUUCACAAAGCACAUACCUUGAUAAGAUAUUGAAGAAGUUCAAUAUGGAUCAGUCUAAGAAAGGGUUCUUCCCU
Molecule: ribosomal RNA, 438 nt
Filed under: Triticum aestivum (bread wheat)
Lineage: Eukaryota; Viridiplantae; Streptophyta; Magnoliopsida; Poales; Poaceae
Description: partial small subunit ribosomal RNA
Source: RNAcentral